Molecule: ribosomal RNA, 492 nt
Filed under: uncultured bacterium
Lineage: Bacteria
Description: partial 16S ribosomal RNA
Rfam family: Bacterial small subunit ribosomal RNA
Source: RNAcentral
AGUGAACGCUGGCGGUAGGCCUAACACAUGCAAGUCGAACGGCAGCACAGUAAGAGCUUGCUCUUACGGGUGGCGAGUGGCGGACGGGUGAGGAAUACAUCGGAAUCUACUUUUUCGUGGGGGAUAACGUAGGGAAACUUACGCUAAUACCGCAUACGACCUACGGGAGAAAGCAGGGGAUAUUCAGACCUUGCCUGACUCAAUGAGCCGAAGUCGGAUUAGCUUUUCUGCGGGGUAAGGGCCCACCAAGGCGACGAUCCGUAGCGGGGCUGAGAGGAUGAUCAGCCCCACUGGAACUUAGACACGGUCCAGACUCCUACCGGAGGCACCAGUGGGGAAUAUUGGACAAUGGGCGCAAGCCUGAACCAGCCAAACCGCGUGGGUUGAGAAGGCCUUCGGGUUCUUAAGCCCUUUUUUUGAGGAAGAAAAGCAGCAGGUUAAUACCCCGCUGUUCUGACGGUACCCAAAGAAUAAGCCCCGGCUUACUUCGUG